This 285-nucleotide long non-coding RNA is filed under the name Mytilus galloprovincialis (Mediterranean mussel). Lineage: Eukaryota; Metazoa; Mollusca; Bivalvia; Mytilida; Mytilidae. The record is from RNAcentral.
UAUUAAGUCUGUUGAAAACAAAUGUACGAUCAACAAUGAACAACGACAGGUUAUCAUCGCUAGCAUUACUGCAUAUUGAUCGGGAUUUCAGUGUGAAUGUUGACAAAGUAAUAGAGAAGUUCGUUUCUGCUUAGACCCGAAGAGCAGAUUUUGGUCAAUGUUGAGUAAAUUCUGUAAUUCAAAAAUGUGUUGUUUAUGUAUUAAAUUAACCAUGAUUUACUCUAUUCAGAAGAUUCAAGUAUUAAUAGUUUUACGUUCAUAAAUUGUUUAUAAGUCCUAUUUACA